RNAcentral lists this ribosomal RNA (305 nucleotides) under Salmonella enterica subsp. enterica serovar Schwarzengrund. RNAcentral describes it as "bacterial LSU rRNA". It matches the Rfam family "Bacterial large subunit ribosomal RNA", at positions 569 to 876 of the family's 2925-position model. Lineage: Bacteria; Pseudomonadati; Pseudomonadota; Gammaproteobacteria; Enterobacterales; Enterobacteriaceae. The record is from RNAcentral.
AGCAGUGGGAGCACCCUUUGGGGUGUGACUGCGUACCUUUUGUAUAAUGGGUCAGCGACUUAUAUUCUGUAGCAAGGUUAACCGAAUAGGGGAGCCGGAGGGAAACCGAGUCUUAAUUGGGCGUUAAGUUGCAGGGUAUAGACCCGAAACCCGGUGAUCUAGCCAUGGGCAGGUUGAAGGUUGGGUAACACUAACUGGAGGACCGAACCGACUAAUGAUGAAAAAUUAGCGGAUGACCUGUGGCUGGGGGUGAAAGGCCAAUCAAACCGGGAGAUUGCUGGUUCUCCCCGAAAGCUAUUUAGGUA